This 252-nucleotide ribosomal RNA is filed under the name uncultured bacterium. RNAcentral's name for it is "partial 16S ribosomal RNA". It matches the Rfam family "Bacterial small subunit ribosomal RNA", at positions 524 to 776 of the family's 1533-position model. The record is from RNAcentral.
UACAGAGGGUGCAAGCGUUAAUCGGAUUUACUGGGCGUAAAGCGCGCGUAGGCGGCUAAUUAAGUCAAAUGUGAAAUCCCCGAGCUUAACUUGGGAAUUGCAUUCGAUACUGGUUAGCUAGAGUGUGGGAGAGGAUGGUAGAAUUCCAGGUGUAGCGGUGAAAUGCGUAGAUAUCAGGAGGAACACCUAUGGCGAAAGCAGGUUCUGGGCCAUCACUGACGCUGAGCUGCGAAAGCUAGGGGAGCAAACAGG